Cygnus olor (mute swan) is the source of this 3627-nucleotide RNA transcript. It is a transcript of the gene named DNA polymerase iota, with no coding region annotated. The transcript has 12 exons. The record is from RefSeq and is a predicted model, not a curated record. Lineage: Eukaryota; Metazoa; Chordata; Aves; Anseriformes; Anatidae.
CCCGGCCGCUUCUAGGGCCUGCGCGGAGCCGCCGGGCCAUGGCGCAGCCCCGGGGCGGCGGCGGGGCCGGGCAGGGCGAGGAGGAGGAGGAGGAGGAGGAAGAGUGGCGGUGCCCGCAGCCGGGCCGCGAGGCCGCUCCGCCCGCCCCGAGCCACAGCAAGUCGGUAUCAGCAAGAAACGCGGCGUGCAGAGUAAUUGUGCACGUGGACUUGGACUGCUUCUAUGCCCAAGUAGAAAUGGUCCGUAAUCCCGAGCUAAGAGACAAGCCUCUAGGUGUGCAGCAGAAAUCCAUAGUAGUAACCUCUAACUAUGAAGCCAGAAAACUUGGAGUUAAGAAACUGAUGUCUGUGAAAGAUGCUAAAGAAAAGUGUCCUCAGCUGAUACUGGUUAACGGAGAAGAUCUAACUCCAUACAGGGAAAUGUCAUACAAGGUUACAGGAUUGCUGGAAGAAUUUUGUCCUCUAGUGGAAAGGCUCGGGUUUGACGAAAAUUUUGUAGAUAUCACAGAGAUUGUCGAGAAAAGACUGAACCAGCUACAAAAAAGUGGAUGUUCCAGAGUGUGUGUGUCUGGCCACGUGUACAACAACCAAGCUAUCGAUUUACGUGAUACAACGCACGUAAGACUGGUUAUCGGAUCUCAGAUCGCAGAAGAGUUCAGGGAAGCCAUGCGCGCUCGACUCGGCCUCACAGGCUGUGCAGGAGUGGCCUGUAACAAGUUACUGUCUAAGCUGGUAUCUGGGACCUUUAAACCAAACCAACAAACAGUUCUGCUGCCUGAAAGCUGUCAAGAUCUGAUGCGCAACCUUGAUCACCUCCAAAAAGUGCCUGGCAUUGGCUACAAAACCGCCAAGCGUCUCGAAACGCUGGGUGUUAGAAGUGUGUGUGAUCUCCAAGCGUUUCCAUCUGCUGUGUUAGAGAAGGAACUAGGGGCUUCCGUUGCUCAGCGCAUCCAAAAACUCAGCUAUGGAGAAGAUGACUCCCCUGUGACUCCAUCAGGCCCUCCUCAGUCCUUUAGUGAUGAAGAUUCCUUUAAAAAAUGUUCCUCAGAAGUGGAAGUUAAAGAGAAAAUUGAAGAACUGCUUCGUAGCCUCUUAGACAGGGUAUCCAAAGAUGGAAGACAGCCACACACCGUGCGACUGACUAUCCGCCACUUCUCUGCGACCGAUAGAUGGUUUAAUCGGGAAAGCCGUCAGUGUGCCAUUCCACCUCAUCUCGUUCAGAAAUUCGGGAAAGAAAGCAGCAACAUUAUAUCUCCAUUGAUUGCUAUACUAAUGAAACUCUUCCGAAAGAUGGUAAAUGUAGAUCUACCGUUUCAUCUCACCCUUCUGAGCGUUUGCUUCUCUAAUCUCAAAGAUGUUCCUAGCAGCAAGAAAGGAUCAAUAGGUUUUUAUCUAAAGCAGAUGCCACCAACAUCAAGCUCUGGUAAAAGUGUCCAGGAGAUGGAAGAUGGCUCACAAGGUGAAGGAAGUACUUCUUGGAACCAGAACUGGAACAGAACUGGCACUAUAAAAACGAAGAGACUUUCAGAGGAAAAGAAAAGCAAUACAAAAAAAGCAAGAAUUCCUGACUUUCCCUGUCAUUUGUCUCCUGGUGGUAUUGACCAGGCAGUCUUCAGGGAACUUCCAGAGGAUAUUAAAAAAGAAAUUAUGUCUGAAAAAGCAGGAGAAGUGAUCUCUGCUGAGAAUGUUUUGGGUCAGCCACCCGUAUGUUUUGCAGAGGAGGUACAGAGCGCUUCCCCGAAUUCUAAGGGGCUGAACAGCGAUGAGCACUCUGCAGGGUACAGUGCACACCUCUCAUCAGCUCGUGAAUCAGAAUCAGCUUGGACACACAGCUCCAGCACCAGUUGCUCUGCUGAGUAUCCUAGAAGCGUGCUAACAGGCAGCAGUAUGGAAGAAAACCCUGCUGACUCUCACAGCUUCAGGGACUUGUCAGUUGUAGAAGCUGGUGCCAGCCAAACUGUUCCGCGCGUCCCUGCCUUGGAUAAAGAUGAGCAGGCCUUUGACAUAACUUCCGAGGGUAAAAACGACAGCAAGAAAGUAGGAAUUGUACUUCCUCCUAGUGUUGAUCCAAAGACUUUUUAUGAACUGCCUACGGAUGUGCAAGAAGAACUACUAGCUGAAUGGAAGAAUCGGGAACCUGUGUCCAAAACUUGUAUAGAGAAACCUCCAGAAAGGCCUAAAACAAAUAGAGGAAGAAAGAAUACAGCGUCAAGUUCCUCACAGUCCAACAGUUUGCUAAGCUGCCACCCUUUCCUGCCAUUUAAGCUUAUGUAGAAGUACUGGAAAAUCUACAGGAGUAAUGGGAAAUGCUACUUCCGCAUAAACCAGCUCAUUCCUGGACUUCAGGCAGCAUAUAGAAUCUCACGGUGGGUUUUGGAGCUCGGGAUUCAGAGGAUGACAGACAACUCUGACUUUUGUUCCUAAUACUCUGCGAAGUUCAAGGGAAAGUUCAGAGCGGGGAAGAGCGGCCUCUUACAAGGAAAUAGGAAACUCCUCUAAUGCUGGGAAACGCUCACUAGCACGGGUAAUUUCACGCACCUAGUUUCUGGGAAACCGUGAAUCACCCUGAUAAUCACUUACAGACAGCAAUCGAACACAAAGGUUAAGGAUGCUGCACAAAGACAAACGAGCUCAAAGGAUACUGCUCGCAAAGAGUUUAAGAAACGCGGUUAUCAGAUUUGCAGCCCCUGACAAUACAGGACUGGAAGCGAGAAAGAGCAAACGGACAUUUCAGCACCACUUACUGCCUUGGUGAAGUGAGUGCGCAGCGUGGGUGUGAGGGACCGCUGCAGAAACUUGCCUCUCCGCUAACUACAACAGGUCUGACGGUGAUGGAAAACAUUUUAAUGUCUACUUAAAAAACAGGGAACGUAAACCACGGCAGGGCCAGUUAAAAUCGUAUUAAUAUUUGAGUACACCCUUUAUUUCCACAGCUGCUAGGAAUUUAUGUUUACUGGUAUCCUAAGCAACUCUCGCCUGCAUCCUGUAAUGUCUUCUCUCCUAAGCUCUGUAGUCGUUAAUCAAACAACUACAAAGUUUGAUUAGGAGACAAAGGAGACAAAACAUCACGAGAGACCCCAUUCACCCUUGCACAGUCGCCUUAAUGCUACCCUGAACUCUGCUGAAAAUAUUCCACCCAUGUGAAAAGCAAGAAUCUGCAUUUUCGCUACCAGAUUCCACGCUGCCUUCUCUUUGCAAGUAAAGCAAACUGUUCCUACUCCUGCCACUUAGAAAAGAAACUGGCAUUUGUGAUACGUGGUUAAUAAAUAUUGAAUGUCAAACUGGAAAUGGGAACAGCUAUAUUUUUGCUUCUAGAAACAGCUGGUAUUCCUUCCUAAAAGACAUGCCAGGGAUCAAUACAGCUUGUUAACGUGACAAAGGUAUUUACGAAAAUAAACGGAAGAGAUCCUGGCUCCCUGCCCAAGUGGCAGAAAGCAUACCACGAUGCUUCUCCUGCCUGCCUACAUGCCUGAUUGGGACUGCAGGAUGCCUUCCUCAUCCAAAAGAUACAAGUCAGGCGCAUCCUUCUGAGUUCCAAGCUACCAUAUUCUCAGUCCUUCACAUCCACCUGCACUGGAAUAAGAUCUGAAACACAAGAAUAAUGCCACAUCCAAACUAUUCAAAUUCU